Molecule: ribosomal RNA, 492 nt
Filed under: uncultured bacterium
Lineage: Bacteria
Description: partial 16S ribosomal RNA
Rfam family: Bacterial small subunit ribosomal RNA
Source: RNAcentral
AGUGAACGCUGGCGGUAUGCCUAACACAUGCAAGUCGAACGGCAACACAGUAAGAGCUUGCUAUUACGGGUGGCGGGGGGCGGACGGGUGAGGAAUACAUCGGAAUCUACUUUUUCGUGGGGGAUAACGUAGGGAAACAUACGCUACUACCGCAUAAGACCUACGGGUGAAAGCAGGGGAUCGUGGGGACUUGCCCGAUUGAAUGAGCCGAUGUCGGAUUAGCUAGUUGGUGGGGUAAAGGCCCACCAAGGCGACGAUCCGUAGCUGGUCUGAGAGGAUGAUCAGCCACACUGGAACUGAGACACGGUCCAGACUCCUACGGGAGGCAGCAGUGGGGAAUAUUGGACAAUGGGCGCAAGCCUGAUCCAGCCAUACCGCGUGGGUGAAGAAGGCCUUCGGGUUGUAAAGCCCUUUUGUUGGGAAAGAAAAGCAGCAGGUUAAUACCCCGCUGUUCUGACGGUACCCAAAGAAUAAGCACCGGCUAACUUCGUG